GGUGGGCACAGUAACGCAUGCCUGUAGCCCAGCUACUCUAAAGGCUGAGGCAGGAGGAUCACUUGAGCCCAGGAGUUCUGGGCUGUCACGUGCUCUGCCAAUUGGGUGUCCUUGUGUAUCCACACUAAGUUCGGCAUCAACAUAUGGUGACCUCCUAGGAUCGAGGGACCACCAGGAUGCCUAAGGAGGAGUGAACCAGUCCAGGUCAGAAAUGGAGCAGAGAGGUCAAAACUCUCAUGCUGAUCAGUAUAGGAUCACACCUUCGAAUAGCCACUGCAUACCACCAGCCUAGGCAACAUAGUGAGACACUAUCUCU
RNAcentral lists this signal recognition particle RNA (316 nucleotides) under Microcebus murinus (gray mouse lemur). RNAcentral's name for it is "Metazoan signal recognition particle RNA (ENSMICG00000036831.2)". It matches the Rfam family "Metazoan signal recognition particle RNA". From Rfam's summary of the family: The signal recognition particle (SRP) is a universally conserved ribonucleoprotein. It is involved in the co-translational targeting of proteins to membranes. The eukaryotic SRP consists of a 300-nucleotide 7S RNA and six proteins: SRPs 72, 68, 54, 19, 14, and 9. The record is from RNAcentral. Lineage: Eukaryota; Metazoa; Chordata; Mammalia; Primates; Cheirogaleidae.